AGUUUGAUCCUGGCUCAGGAUGAACGCUAGCUACAGGCUUAACACAUGCAAGUCGAGGGGAAACGACAUUGGAAGCUUGCUUCCGAUGGGCGUCGACCGGCGCACGGGUGAGUAACGCGUAUCCAACCUGCCCACCACUUGGGAAUAACCUUGCGAAAGUAAGACUAAUGCCCAAUGACGUUGAAAGAAGACAUCUGAUUUCAACUAAAGAUUCAUCGGUGAUGGAUGGGGAUGCGUCCGAUUAGCUUGUUGGCGGGGUAACGGCCCACCAAGGCAACGAUCGGUAGGGGUUCUGAGAGGAAGGUCCCCCACAUUGGAACUGAGACACGGUCCAAACUCCUACGGGAGGCAGCAGUGAGGAAUAUUGGUCAAUGGGCGAGAGCCUGAACCAGCCAAGUAGCGUGCAGGAUGACGGCCCUAUGGGUUGUAAACUGCUUUUAUAAGGGAAUAAAGUGGGGCUCGUGAGCUCCUUUGCAUGUACCUUAUGAAUAAGGACCGGCUAAUUCCGUGCCAGCAGCCGCGGUAAUACGGAAGGUCCGGGCGUUAUCCGGAUUUAUUGGGUUUAAAGGGAGCGUAGGCCGCAGGUUAAGCGUGUUGUGAAAUGUAGGGGCUCAACCUCUGCACUGCAGCGCGAACUGGCUUGCUUGAGUACGCACAACGUGGGCGGAAUUCGUGGUGUAGCGGUGAAAUGCUUAGAUAUCACGAAGAACUCCGAUUGCGAAGGCAGCUCACGGGAGCGCAACUGACGCUGAAGCUCGAAAGUGCGGGUAUCGAACAGGAUUAGAUACCCUGGUAGUCCGCACGGUAAACGAUGGAUGCCCGCUGUUGGCUUGAAUUAGUCAGCGGCCAAGCGAAAGCAUUAAGCAUCCCACCUGGGGAGUACGCCGGCAACGGUGAAACUCAAAGGAAUUGACGGAAGG
RNAcentral lists this ribosomal RNA (920 nucleotides) under uncultured bacterium. RNAcentral describes it as "bacterial SSU rRNA". It matches the Rfam family "Bacterial small subunit ribosomal RNA", at positions 10 to 920 of the family's 1533-position model. The record is from RNAcentral.